CCGCAUACGCAGUUACAAAAACAAAACGCUUAGCAAAAGAAAGGCUCUCCCUCUCUCGCACAGGCACUAAUAAGAAUCGCAUGCAAACGUCGUACAAUAUCUACAUCUACCGACGUCGUACUUUAACUUUAUUUAGGACAUUUGUGUGUCAGUUGAAGACUAACAGGUCUUGAACAAGACUAAUAUCGAGCAGACGUUAGAUAACACGGUAAACGCAAACACCAAGGCCAGUCUAGUCCAGCUAACCUCACCGCAACCAACAUUUUUCGAUAGAUAAAAGGUAGCCUAAUUUAUGAGCGUGCAACAGCUUCUUCUAUUUUAGACAAUCUGAUAUCAAAUUCAGCUCAUUAUGGUUGUUAUCAGUUAUAACGUUAACGAGCUAUAUGAACUAGCGUGAGCUUUAGAAUUGACCAAUAGCGUUAGCUAGCAAGUGGUAAAUUAGUGGUUUAAUCUCUCCAUCAGGACGUUGGACAACUUAACGUUUGUGAGACUUGACAGCGAGGACGGUGCGUAAAUACAUGAAACCGAUGCCACGGGGUCUGUUCUGAAAAGUAAUUGCCGUUAGCUGCCAGAGACAAGGCCCUUCCUUACCUGGACCAUCAGAGGCGGACCGGGCAGGUGAAUUGAGCUUCGGUCGCUUUGGGUUGGGAGGUCCGACAUCCAGCAAGUUCUCCGCCAUGGUAAAGGACUCUGAUUGUUACUUUAACAGCCGAAGGAAAAUCAACAAAAUCUUCCAGACAGGCUGCAGCUGGGAUCAGCCCAAAUCGAUCCGUAGGUUUUCUUUCUUGCAACCACUCCGUUAAAAGAAAAAUAAUUAGCUAGCUAGCCAGCUAGCAAGGUAAAUGCUUCAAAAAAAUAGCAACAGCGCCCCGCUCCGCCAUUCACCCCAUGAUAAUCCAACACCCAACACCCACAUUAUUAUCAUUAAUAAUUACCCCCGAUGAAAAAAAUAUUUUAUUCCAAAAAAGAAAGUAAAAAAAUUAUAGUAAUGCAUAAACUGAAUUUUAGGUCCCUUGCCCCACAAGUCGUUACGUUACCUUCGCAUCUUUACAAAACCGUUUUUUCUGAGCGCAAUUUGAUUGCAUCAAAUUGCAUUU
Anguilla rostrata (American eel) is the source of this 1097-nucleotide long non-coding RNA. RefSeq lists it as uncharacterized. The record is from RefSeq and is a predicted model, not a curated record. The transcript has 2 exons. Lineage: Eukaryota; Metazoa; Chordata; Actinopteri; Anguilliformes; Anguillidae.